RNAcentral lists this ribosomal RNA (494 nucleotides) under uncultured bacterium. RNAcentral describes it as "partial 16S ribosomal RNA". It matches the Rfam family "Bacterial small subunit ribosomal RNA", at positions 28 to 507 of the family's 1533-position model. The record is from RNAcentral.
GACGAACGCUGGCGGCGUGCCUAAUACAUGCAAGUAGAACGCUGAAGGAGGAGCUUGCUUCUCUGGAUGAGUUGCGAACGGGUGAGUAACGCGUAGGUAACCUGCCUGGUAGCGGGGGAUAACUAUUGGAAACGAUAGCUAAUACCGCAUAACAGUAGAUAUAGCAUGAUAUCUACUUGAAAGGUGCAAUUGCAUCACUACCAGUUGGACCUGCGUUGAUUUAGCUAGUUGGUGAGGUAACGGCUCACCAAGGCGGCAAACCGUCGCCGACCUGGGAGGGGAUCGGCCACACUGGGAAUUGGACACGGCCCAGGACUCUACGGGGGGGCGCAGGAGGGGAACUUCGGCAAUGGACGGAAGUCUUACCGGACAACGCCGGGGGAGUGAAGAAGGUUUUCGGGUCGUAAAGCUCUGGUGUAAGGGAAGAACGAGUGGGGGAGUGGAAAGUGCACACUGUGACGGUACCUUACCAGAAAGGGACGGCUAACUACGUG